This is a non-coding RNA of Caenorhabditis elegans, 21 nucleotides long. Lineage: Eukaryota; Metazoa; Nematoda; Chromadorea; Rhabditida; Rhabditidae. The record is from Ensembl.
UCUGAUCAAUGAAAUAUUAUC